UAGGGAAUCUUCGGCAAUGGACGAAAGUCUGACCGAGCAACGCCGCGUGAGUGAAGAAGGUUUUCGGAUCGUAAAACUCUGUUGUUAGAGAAGAACAAGGACGUUAGUAACUGAACGUCCCCUGACGGGAUCUAACCAGAAAGCCACGGCUAACUACGUGCCAGCAGCCGCGGUAAUACGUAGGUGGCAAGCGUUGUCCGGAUUUAUUGGGCGUAAAGCGAGCGCAGGCGGUUUCUUAAGUCUGAUGUGAAAGCCCCCGGCUCAACCGGGGAGGGUCAUUGGAAACUGGGAGACUUGAGUGCAGAAGAGGAGAGUGGAAUUCCAUGUGUAGCGGUGAAAUGCGUAGAUAUAUGGAGGAACACCAGUGGCGAAGGCGGCUCUCUGGUCUGUAACUGACGCUGAGGCUCGAAAGCGUGGGGAGCAAACAGG
This 429-nucleotide ribosomal RNA is filed under the name Chloroflexota bacterium. RNAcentral's name for it is "Chloroflexi bacterium partial 16S ribosomal RNA". It matches the Rfam family "Bacterial small subunit ribosomal RNA", at positions 355 to 776 of the family's 1533-position model. The record is from RNAcentral. RNAcentral also lists the same sequence under 1 other name. Lineage: Bacteria; Bacillati; Chloroflexota.